RNAcentral lists this ribosomal RNA (492 nucleotides) under uncultured bacterium. RNAcentral describes it as "partial 16S ribosomal RNA". It matches the Rfam family "Bacterial small subunit ribosomal RNA", at positions 29 to 507 of the family's 1533-position model. The record is from RNAcentral.
AGUGAACGCUGGCGGUAGGCCUAACACAUGCAAGUCGAACGGCAGCACAGUAAGAGCUUGCUCUUACGGGUGGCGAGUGGCGGACGGGUGAGGAAUACAUCGGAAUCUACUUUUUCGUGGGGGAUAACGUAGGGAAACUUACGCUAAUACCGCAUACGACCUACGGGGGAAAGCAGGGGAUCUUCGGACCUUGCGCGAUUGAAUGAGCCGAUGUCGGAUUAGCUAGUUGGGGGGGUAAAGGCCCACCAAGGCGACGAUCCGUAGCUGGUCUGAGAGGAUGAUCAGCCACACUGGAACUGAGACACGGUCCAGACUCCUACGGGAGGCAGCAGUGGGGAAUAUUGGACAAUGGGCGCAAGCCUGAUCCAGCCAUACCGCGUGGGUGAAGAAGGCCUUCGGGUUGUAAAGCCCUUUUGUUGGGAAAGAAAAGCAGCAGGUUAAUACCCCGCUGUUCUGACGGUACCCAAAGAAUAAGCACCGGCUAACUUCGUG